RNAcentral lists this ribosomal RNA (478 nucleotides) under uncultured bacterium. Its description in RNAcentral is "partial 16S ribosomal RNA". It matches the Rfam family "Bacterial small subunit ribosomal RNA", at positions 28 to 507 of the family's 1533-position model. The record is from RNAcentral.
GACGAACGCUGGCGGCGUGCUUAACACAUGCAAGUCGAACGUGUUUUUUGUGCUAAUUCUUUCGGUCAUGGACAUGAAAUGAAAUUGGCGAACGGGUGCGUAACACUUGAGCAGCCUACCUUACACAGGGGGAUAGCCGUUGCAAACGACUAUUAAUACCGCAUGAGACCACAGAAUCGCAUGCUAUCUGGGUGAUAGAUUUAUCGGUGUAAGAGGGGCUGGCGUCUGAUUAGCUAGUUGGAAGGGUAAAGGCCUACCAAAGCGACGAUCAGUAGCCGGUCUGAGAGGAAGAGCCGAGACAUUGGAGGUGGGACGCGGUCGAAAAUCCUGCGGGAGGGGGCAGUGGGGAAUAUAGCACAGUGGGGGGAAUGAUGAAGGAGCGACGCUGGGUGAGCGAAGAAGGUUGUGAAAUAGGAAAGCAAGGUAAUAUGAGAAGGUAAUGACGGUACCAAAAGAGGAAGCCCCGGCUAAAUACGUG